This 497-nucleotide ribosomal RNA is filed under the name uncultured bacterium. RNAcentral's name for it is "partial 16S ribosomal RNA". It matches the Rfam family "Bacterial small subunit ribosomal RNA", at positions 28 to 507 of the family's 1533-position model. The record is from RNAcentral.
GAUGAACGCUGGCGGCGUGCCUAAUACAUGCAAGUCGAGCGAACAGAUGAGGAGCUUGCUCCUCUGACGUUAGCGGCGGACGGGUGAGUAACACGUGGAUAACCUACCUAUAAGACUGGGAUAACUUCGGGAAACCGGAGCUAAUACCGGAUAAUAUAUUGAACCGCAUGGUUCAAUAGUGAAAGACGGUUUUGCUGUCACUUAUAGAUGGAUCCGCGCCGCAUUAGCUAGUUGGUAAGGUAACGGCUUACCAAGGCAACGAUGCGUAGCCGACCUGAGAGGGUGAUCUGCCACACUGGAACUGAGACACGGUCCAGACUCCUACGGUGGGCAGCAGUAGGGAAUCUUCCGCAAUGGGCGAAAGCCUGACGGAGCAACGCCGCGUGAGUGAUGAAGGUCUUCUGAUCGUAAAACUCUGUUAUUAGGGAAGAACAAAUGUGUAAGUAACUAUGCACGUCUUGACGGUACCUAAUCAGAAAGCCACGGCUAACUACGUG